Long non-coding RNA from Panthera uncia (snow leopard), 760 nucleotides. RefSeq lists it as uncharacterized. The record is from RefSeq and is a predicted model, not a curated record. The transcript has 4 exons. NCBI's taxonomy places the organism in Eukaryota, Metazoa, Chordata, Mammalia, Carnivora, Felidae.
UUCUACUUACAAAGCAAUCGUUUUAAUGGCAUUAAUAACUACAUUUCCAUUCAUCUUCAGGCUUUGGGUUUGCAAGCCUAGGACUGCAUCAAAUCAGAGCAGUGGACACCUUAUAUUUUUAAUCAUCCACAAACCAAGGUCCUCAGCUACAGAACAAAUACCAUCGCUAUAAAUGCUUCAGAAAGGACACUGAAUUAAGCCACAGCUAUCCCUACUUGGAACAUUCUGACUAUUUGAGGGCAUCAAGCUCUGAAAGCAUGGCAUAGAAAACUAAACUCUUCAUCAGGAUCACGUAUUCCAGCGGUCAUCUUAUACAGGCAAUUCACAAUGUGAAAUGGGUUGUGCUCCGGCAAAGAAGGGAAACCAUCCACCUCUUUCCUCUGAGAAAGUAAAGAAAGAACAAAACAGUUCCCCAUCUUCAGCCCAGGGGAGGUAUGGUGCAAACAACCUUAUGAGAGAGCGAUGGUCAAUCACACCCAUUUAGCAGAAGACUUGGACGUGGAAAGCUAAAGUGCCUUGCACAAAUUCGGGCUGAGGACCACACCCACGGGGGCCACCCUGGUCCGCCUGACCCCAAAGCCCGUGCUCUUGUGCGUUGCGUUCUCCGCCCCACCACUGACCUCUGCUUCCAACGCCCGACACUGCCGGGGAGCUUCGGGUCUGGGAAGCAGGUAAAUGCUCAACCCAACGGAAUACCGGCAGGGCCGCCCGCCGGGAUGCUGGAUACAGGAGGCAGCUCCCGGGGAGCAGGGACUCACCU